Non-coding RNA from Oncorhynchus mykiss (rainbow trout), 7157 nucleotides. NCBI's taxonomy places the organism in Eukaryota, Metazoa, Chordata, Actinopteri, Salmoniformes, Salmonidae. The record is from RefSeq and is a predicted model, not a curated record.
ACUGAAAAAGCGUGUGCGAGCAAGGAUGCCUAAAAUCCUGACUCAGUUACACCAGCUCUGUCAGGAGGAAUGGGCUAAAAUUCACGCAACUUAUUGUGGGAAGCAUGUGGAAGGCUACCCGACCCAAGAAAAAACAGUUUAAAAGCAAAACUACCAAAUACUAAUUGAGUGUAUAUAAACUUCUGACCCACUGGGAAUGUGAUGAAAGAAAUAAAAGCUGAAAUAAAUAAUUCUCUCUACUAUUAUUCUGACAUUUCACAUUCGUGAUCCUAAUUAAACUAAGACAGGGAAUUAAAUGUCAGGAAUUGUGAAAAACUGAGUUUAAAUGUAUUUGGCUAAGGUGUAUGUAAACUUCUGACAUCAACUGUAGUACUACUUCUCCACACCUUACCCCACCCGACCAUACCAAGCCCCAUAUGAACCUGUUCCAUCGGCUAAUCCUCCUCUUCAUCCAUCCACCCUACUGCCUCUAUGUAUCAUUAGAAAAACAUGUGUUUUCUAUUUUGUCAUCUUUAUCAUCAUAAAUGAUAUACCACAGGAGGCUGGGGAGGGGAGGACGGGUCAUAAUAAUGGCUGGAUUGGAACUCAUGUAAUGGUAUUAAAACACAUAGAAACCAUGUGUUUGAUGUGUCUGAUAAUUCCAUUCCAGCCAUUACCCACCAUUCUCACCAAUUAAGGUGCCACCAGCCUCCUGUGGGAGGAGGCAUUUUUAGUUCUGAGUCUAUUUCUGUUUCAUUGAUCUCAAGGUCUAUGUUGUUCCCCCAGUUGUGUGAUCUGUAGCAGGGGGAUGUCAUACUUUUCCUCUUUCACAAUCUCUCCCCCUCUGUCCCUCUGUCCCUCUGUCCGUCCCUCUGUCCGUCAGUCUGUCUGUCCGUCCGUCCGUCCGUCCGUCCGUCCGUCCGUCCGUCUGUCCGUCCGUCUGUCCGUCUGUUCGUCUGUCUGUCCGUCCGUCCAUUUGGCACUGUUAGAGACAAAUUAACAAACACAACCGUCUAAAAUCUGGAUGGUACAUUAUCUACUGUAAGCAUGAUAUCUAGGUUUUUCCUUCCUUUUCCCUUACUGUCUACCUUCCUUCAAUCCCAUUGACCUAGUCUGUCUCUCACUGCCUUUGACUGGUGUCUGUUUGCAUGUUUUUCACUGGAUAGUUACAGUGCUUGUCAGGCUAUGAAGUUGAUUGGUCAAAUCAGAGCAUGCCUUUACAUUGGGAGAAUAGUCCUACUUUUGGUGCCUUUGUUAUGGCAGUAGAGGUCAUAUCAGGAUCAGGGAGACUUUGGCCUUGAUCACAAGAGGUUGGUGAGAGGAGGACAGUGCAUAAUAAUGACUGGAAUGAAGUAAUUGCAAUGGUCAAUACCAUUCCAUUCCAUCCAUUACUAUGAGUCCAUCCUCCCCAAUUAAGGUGCCACUAGACGCCUGUGGUCUAGAUUCAAUCAUGUCAAACGUUAACUGGCUAUAGCUGACACCCGCAUAAAUCACCCGCAGAUUUUAUUGGUCACAUAAACAUAUUUAGCAGAUGUUAUUGUGGGUGUAUCGAAAUACCUGUGUUCCUAGCUCCAACAUUGCAGUAGUAUCUAACAAUUCACAAUAAUACACACAAAUACAAAAGUAAAAGAAUGGAAUUAAGAAAUAUAUAAAUAUUAGGACGAGCAAUGUCAGAGUGGCUUUGACUAAAAUAAAGUGGAAUACAAUACAGCAUAUACAUAUGAAAUUAGUAAAGCAGUAUUUAAACAUUAUUCAAGAAGCCAGUAAUUCCAUGUCUAUGUAUAUAGUGCAGCAGCCUGUAAGGUGCAGGGAUGAGUAACCGGGUGGUAGCUGAUGCUUUGGUGGUGUCAGAGGGUUAACUGCGUUGGAGCUGUCAAAACAGAGUGGCUGCUGGUCAUUGUCAGGAAGACCCACCCAUCCCACUCCCGUUAGAAGUUCAGAAGAAGAAAGUGUAUUAUAUAUAGAAAUAAUGAUGCUGAAAUCAUGAGGGUUUCUAUCAUCCUAAUGGUGUAGAUUACAUCUCACAUUCCAGUGUUAGAACUUGUAAACAAAGCUGCAAGGGAUUUCUCUUAAUGUGACUCCAUGCAGCCAAUGGCAACGUCCGCUUGAGGUAUAAUGCCAGGAGCCGCUUGUGGAUUUGAUAGCUCUAAUGCAGUUCCACCUCCAACACCACCAGUACAACUGCUAUGAGGGUGUCGGCUAGCACAGAUCUGAUAGAAUUUAGCCCUUAGUUUAAGAGAUGAGGCUAUCGACAUUCAGACAGUUUUUCUGGAUUCCUUCUCUUUCUUCCUGUCUCUUUCUCUUUUUUGAAGGUAUUUGUCUUUGUGUGCUAACCCCUUUCAAAUUGGACUUUAGCUUUGUACACACACAUACAGUACAUUUAAAGACAUAAGCUCUAAAGUUUCUCCUAUAAUGUCAAGAUAGUGUUUUAGUGUCUUGGUACUUUGUCUUAUCUACCCAGUAGAUACAGAUUGUAUUCCUGUGUUUUAGAUGUUACUCCAUAGUGCUGGUGUCUUUUUUUGUACAAGUAUAAUGAAUUACUUGGCAGGCCAGUAGUGAUCUGUUAUUGCGCUUUAAAGAAAAAAGAAAAUUGAGAGAAAAAAAUAUGAAAGAUACACAGUACCAGUCAAAAGUUUGGACUCCCCUACUCAUUCAAGGGUUUUUCUGUAUUUUUAUUAUUUUCUACAUUGAGGAAUAACAUGAAGCAGGUUGAGAGAAUGCCAAGAGUGUGCAAAGCUGUCACCAAGGCAAAGGACGACUACAAGAAUUUAAAAUCUAUUUAGAUUUGUUUAACACUUUUUUGGUUAUUACAUGAUUCCAUAUGGGUUUCACAGUUUUAAUUUUUGUUCUAGUUUUUUGUUUUUAGUUGAAUGAGUAGGUGUGUCCAAACUUUUGACAGGUACUGUAUAAUUUUGAAUAUUGUAAACAAAUGAAAUUGACACAGUAAUCUCUUUCAACAGUAUCUAAAAAGGUGAUGGUGCUUUAUAGAUAUAACCAUCUAGCAUUUGUAGAGGAAUCUUUAUAUGUUUAUUGGAUCCACUUUUAUUAACACUGUAUUUUGAUGCUGUUGUUUAUUUUUCUUGCUGACAUUGUCUUUAAAGGUGAUUUAUAGCUCCAACAGGAUUGGGAUAGUGACACAUUUGUUGUUGUUUCAGCUCUGUAAUCCAGCACUUUGGAUUUGAUAUAUUGUAUAAUAUAAUGAGGUCAAAAUGCAGACUGUCAGCUUCAAUUUGAGGGUAUUUUUAUCCAUAUUGGGUGAACCGUUUAGGAAUUACAGCACUAGUUGUGCAAAGUUACAGACGCUCAAAUAUCAAACCCCCUCAAAAUGAUAACCUCCCCUUUUAUUUUAAUGUGAGAGGUUAGCAUGUCUUGCAGGUAUGAUAUUUGUGCAUCUGGAACUUUCCCACUCAUCAUUAUUCACAAUGAAUUCAGUUCCACAUUAAUGUAGAAGUGUUUAGAAACACAUUUUAUAAUUAUUUACAAUGUGACCAAAAUGACACAGUACAUUAUUUAGCAUUAACUUCUAUUGUGCACAAAAUACUCUGAAACUCAACCAAAAUAAAGAGCAAAUGCAUCCAACAAUGCGUGCUAGGAAUAUGGGACCAAAUAUUUAACUUUUGACUACUUUAAUACUGCCCUACCAAGCAAAAAGGUAGUAACUGCUCAUAGCGUGGAACUGAGAAGAAUUGCUUUUAUUUAUUUACCUUGGUUUACUUUGUGCAGUUACUGCUAACAUGACCCCCAUUUUCUCCAAAACACAAUACAAUAGAGGCAGGAUACUUGUUCACAUGAUUAAGCAUGUAUUUAAUGUUGCAAAAAUUACAUGAACUCUUUGCUUGGUAGGGCACCAUACACAUAAGUGAAUUUGCCCCCAAACUUUUGGUCAAAUAAAAUGGGGGGACUAUGUACAAAAAGUGCUGUAAUUCCUAAACGGUUCAACCGAUAUGGAUGAAAUACCCUCAAAUUAAGCUGACAGUCUGCAGUUUAACAUCAAAGUCAUUGUAUUGUUUUAAAAUCCAAAGUGCUGGAGUACAGAGACAGAAUAACAACAACAAAUGCACUGUCCCAAUACUUUGAGCUCACUGUAAUUUGCCUUAACAUUGCCUUAAGGUUAUCUCAAUGUUGACUCAGCCCAGUGUUAUGCCCUUCAAAUGCACAGAUUGUCUCUGUAAACAUAGACGUCCAAUAAAACCCACACUAUACAAAUCCUGAUGUUUAGCUUGGCGAGCCCUAGCUUAAGAUCCGAUAUGUUGACUAUAUGUAAUUAUGUUGAGUAUAUGUCAUUAGUCCAGUGUAGACCUCCCCUAGUUGUGAUAACGAGAGAUGUUUUGAGGAGACUAUUCUAGAAGGAUAAAGAAUCUGAUUCACUACGUCGACCUACAGAUGUGGUCAAAUAUAUUGGCACCUGAGUGCAAUGGAGCAGAAUGUUGAAUGGCUAUUUUUACCCUGUAGGCACCUGCAACUUACCACAGGUUAAUAAAUGACACAGUAAUUGAGAAUCAUGCCUCCAACCAAAUUAUACUGAACAAAAAUAUAAACGUCAAAUGAAAGAUUUCACUGAGUUACAGUUCAUAUAGGAAAUCAGUCAAUUGAACCAAAUGAAUCAGGCCCUAAUCUAUUUAUUUCACAUGACUGGGAAUAUAGAUAUGCAUAUGUUGCUCACAUAUACUUUUUUUUUUAAAGUUGGGCGUGGAUCAGAAAACCAGUCAGUGUCUUGCCUCAUGCAGCGUGACACACAUCCUUUUCAAAGUUGAAUCAGGCUGUUGGUUGUGGCCUGUGGAAUGUUGUCCCACUCCUCUUCAGUGGCUGUGUGAAGUUGUUGGAUAUUGGAGGGAACUGGAACACGCUGUCGUACACGUCAAUCCAGAGCAUCUAAAACAUUCUCAAUAGGUGACAUGACUGGUGACUAUGCAAGCCAUGGAUGAACGUGGACAUUUUCAGCUUCCAGGAAUUGUGCACAGAUCCUUGUGAAAUGGGGCUGUGCAUUAUCAUGCUGAAACAAGAGGUGAUGGCAGCGGAUGAAUGGCACGACCAUCGUUCUCAGGAUUUCAUGUGGGUUUGGGUAGUUCAAUAAUAAGAGGCUGUAAUGUGGUGCAGAGGGUGUUAAUCAGUGAGGGUGAUAUGUCUGUCCUACAUUGGUCCAACAUCAUUUAAUUGAAAUGAGGUGGAAACAAUUUUGAUUCAACCAGUGUGCCCCCAGUGUGUGAGAACUUUAACGACCAACCGUCAAUAUCAAAUACUCAGGCACUUCCCUUGACCUCUUGGUAGCAUAUGUUUUGUCAAUACCAAUAGAGGCUGCUGAGGGGAGGACGGAUCAUAAUAAUGGCUGGAACGGAGUGAAUGGAAUGGCAUAAAACACAUGGAAAUCAUUGGUUUGGUGUUUUUGAUACCUUUCCACAUAUUCCGCUCCAGCCAUUACCACGUGCCCGCCUUCCCCAAUUAAGGUGCCACCAACCUCCUAUGGUCGAUACACAAAUAUCAAAAUCAAAACGGUUGAACCUCAGAUUAUUUCUGUGUUAGACUCAGUAAUUGUUACGUGUAGAGCAAUGGGUGGCAGAAACCUGUUGAAACCUUUUGGGACCUGUUGGGACCUGUUGGAACAAAUGGUGAUAGAGCUAUAAGACAGUGACAGAAGUAAGACGGAGAGCUGAGGGACAGAUAGAGAGGGACUGUGGUGCUGAACUGUGACUGACAUUUAGAGAGAUGGACUGUGGUGCUGAACUGUGACUGACAUAUAGAGAGGGACUGUGGUGCUGAACUGUGACUGACAUAUAGAGAGGGACUGUGGUGCUGAACUGUGACUGACAUAUAGAGAGGGACUGUGGUGCUGAACUGUGACUGACAUAUAGAGAGAUGGACUGUGGUGCUGAACUGUGACUGACAUAUAGAGAGAUGGACUGUGGUGCUGAACUGUGACUGACAUAUAGAGAGGGACUGUGGUGCUGAACUGUGACUGACAUAUAGAGAGGGACUGUGGUGCUGAACUGUGACUGACAUAUAGAGAGAGGGACUGUGGUGCUGAACUGUGACUGAUGCACUUAUCUCUCCACGCUACUUCACACAUUAUUCAGCUCGUCGCUUUCUCUCACUCCCUCUCUCUCAUCCUCUCUCUUUCCCUCCCUCCCUCCCUCUCUCCCUCCCUCUCUCUCAUCCUCUAUCUUUCUCUCCCUCUCCCUCCCUCUGUCAUACUCUCUCUUUCCCUCCCUCUCUCCCUCCCGCUCUCUUUCCCUCCCACGUUCAAUUUUAGGAUCAGCCCUGUCAAGUUUAGCUAUUCUGUCAACCUUAGAACAUUUUAGACAAAAUAUUGUUUCCACUGUUAAUGGAAAUAUAGACACCGUGAGUUCCUCCAAAGACAUGAGAAAAUAAGCUCCUUGUUGUCGUUGAGCCAAAGUGAAUGGAAUGUGGAACGUUUUCUUAAAUUAGCCAUGUUCCAUAUAAAUAAACACAAGGAUAAAAUUAUGGGAUGUAUAAUUUCAUAUAUUUAUUUAUUCUAUGGGAAUGAGGGGGAGGAGGAGUACAUAAAUGAGUUACCGAUAGUUAGAUCAGACCACUCCGUUAGCCGAAACAUUUCUGGUGUUGGUCCCUAUAUGCACAAAUAUGCAGUAUUUAACAGAUAAAAGCAAGAAGAAUUCCAUGCUUUGCAUUUGUGAUUUUGAACUUCUUUGAGUUAAAAUCUCUUGUUAUUACUUGAAUUUUAAGCGAUAGAAAAGCCAAAGUAAGAUAAAGAUAAAGUUCUCCACCUUGCAGGCCAUGCUCCUGUUCCUGACGGAGAUGAGUCAAGGCUGAGAUGUCAGAUAGAACUGCAGAUGUGAUUUGGCCUUAAUUGAGUUCCGGUCACAAAAUAACUGCAGAAACAAGGCGUAGCACCAGUACUAGCUGUAGCUACUGUGACACUUCAAGGGCCAAAAAACAACAUUUAGCAAUAUGAAUAAUUGAACAAUCUCAGUUCUCAUCCUCUUUAAAGGCAAUAUCAGCAUUCUAGGCUACUAAAUAUAAUGAGGGUUGUUUUUUCUGCUUUUAUCCAUUACAUUUUUGUAUGUCUUAGUUAUUUUAGAUGAUCCUAUGAUUUAUAUAGAAUUCAUUAUAUUGUUAUUAUUUUUGUUAUUACUGUAUAGGGAAUUUAACCCAAUAAGAUGUCUUUCUGCACUGAUUUCUUAUUAAAGUGUACUGAUCUGCCA